GAUGAACGCUGGCGGCGUGCCUAAUACAUGCAAGUCGAACGAAACUUCUUUAUCACCGAGUGCUUGCACUCACCGAUAAAGAGUUGAGUGGCGAACGGGUGAGUAACACGUGGUCAACCUGCCCAAAAGAGGGGGAUAACACUUGGAAACAGGUUCUAAUACCUCAUAACCAUAUUUACCGCUUUGUAACUUUGUUAAAUGUUUCUAUACUACCGCUUUUGGUUUGUCCCGGGGCGCAUUAGCUAGUUGGUAGGGUAAAGGAUUACCAAGGCAAUGAUGCGAAGACGAAAUGAGAGGUUGAUCGGCCACAAUGGGACUGAGAAACGGACAAAACGACUACGGGAGGAAGCAGUAGGGAAUCUGCCACAAUGGGCGAAAGGCUGAUGGAGCAACGCCGCGUGGGUGAAGAAGGUCUUCGGAUCGUAAAACCCUGUUGUUAGAGAAGAAAGAGAGUGAGAGUAACUGUUCACGUUUCGACGGUAACUAACCGGAAAGCCACGGCUAACUACGUG
RNAcentral lists this ribosomal RNA (512 nucleotides) under uncultured bacterium. RNAcentral's name for it is "partial 16S ribosomal RNA". It matches the Rfam family "Bacterial small subunit ribosomal RNA", at positions 28 to 507 of the family's 1533-position model. The record is from RNAcentral.